GCGAGAAUCCUUGGAGAUUUUUAUUCUCAUCCUUGUUAUCCAUCAUAUUUAUGAUGUUAACUGUCAAGAAACUUUUAGCAUUGUGAGGUUGCCAGUAGGUGGUCUCCCUCUUCAGAUACAGAUGUUGAGUGGAUUCAAAUCAAGAGCCAAGAGGAUAUAUUUUGGAAGCUACUUGUUCAUGAAAAUUCUUUGUAAGCCUCUUAUGGAUUCUGAGUGCCACGUGAGAAGGAACAUAGUGCUGCUGGAAUGCAUUUGUUCUUCUCUAGGUCACUCCUUUUGAUCCAGGAUUUCAACAUUGUGUCCAACAACUCAAUGGUGACAUCAGCCCUGAAACUUUGAAAGAUUAAGUGAUGCAGCAUAACAUGGCCCAUAUUGUUCAGGAUUCCCAGCAGUAUAGAAUGGUGCUUCAAGACAUUUUGUCCAUGCCGGAUGAAAAUAGUACAUGUAAAAAUGAUGAUUGAUGAUCAUUUAUAACACUGUGUUUCUAUAUUGUGUGUGCACAUAGAUAUUCAUGGAUAUAAAAAACGCUGAUUGUGUGUGUACACACAACUGAACAAACUAGAAAAAGUAGCAUUCAACAUAUUUGGUUGGAGUUACAAAUAUAAGGGUUGGCUGUAAAGCUCAUCAACUGACCAAGAUACACUCAUGUAAUGUGACUGAAUGACGUUUAUUUUACAACAUAGUUCACCUUGUGGUCCAUACACUUCUUCCAUUGCUGUUGCAGUACUUGGAUCCCUCUGGUGAAGAAGCUUUCAUCCUGUAAAUAAAAAAAACAGGUC
Long non-coding RNA from Octopus sinensis (East Asian common octopus), 779 nucleotides. RefSeq lists it as uncharacterized. The transcript has 3 exons. The record is from RefSeq and is a predicted model, not a curated record. NCBI's taxonomy places the organism in Eukaryota, Metazoa, Mollusca, Cephalopoda, Octopoda, Octopodidae.